AUUGAACGCUGGCGGCAGGCCUAACACAUGCAAGUCGAGCGGAUGAAGGGAGCUUGCUCCUGGAUUCAGCGGCGGACGGGUGAGUAAUGCCUAGGAAUCUGCCUGGUAGUGGGGGAUAACGUCCGGAAACGGGCGCUAAUACCGCAUACGUCCUGAGGGAGCAAGUGGGGGAUCUUCGGACCUCACGCUAUCAGAUGAGCCUAGGUCGGAUUAGCUAGUUGGUGGGGUAAAGGCCUACCAAGGCGACGAUCCGUAACUGGUCUGAGAGGAUGAUCAGUCACACUGGAACGGGGACACGGUCCAGACUCCUGCGGGAGGCAGCAGUGGGGAAUAUUGGACAAUGGGCGAAAGCCUUAUCCAGCCAUGCCGCGUGUGUGAAGAAGGUCUUCGGAUUGUAAAGCACUUUAAGUUGGGAGGAAGGGCAGUAAGUUAAUACCUUGCUGUUUUGACGUUACCAACAGAAUAAGCACCGGCUAACUUCGUG
RNAcentral lists this ribosomal RNA (484 nucleotides) under uncultured bacterium. RNAcentral describes it as "partial 16S ribosomal RNA". It matches the Rfam family "Bacterial small subunit ribosomal RNA", at positions 30 to 507 of the family's 1533-position model. The record is from RNAcentral.